Clarias gariepinus (North African catfish) is the source of this 845-nucleotide non-coding RNA. The record is from the annotation of a RefSeq genome assembly. NCBI's taxonomy places the organism in Eukaryota, Metazoa, Chordata, Actinopteri, Siluriformes, Clariidae.
AAAAAAUGCACUUCUCUCCAGAUGAUCCUUUAGUGGAACUUUCUGUUGUGUCCAGUGAGGAUAAAACUGCUUCAACCGUGCAAAAACUUCUUUGCUAUGGAACUGGACUUAACCCAGUGAUCAAGUGGCUCCCCGAAUCUGUGGGGAAUAAUAAAAGUGAAGUAACAAUGAAUGAAGAUGGAUUUGUGAAGGUGUCCAGCGAGCUAUCAGUUUCAGAACAAGAGUGGAAACGUGGAACUACAUUCACCUGCCAAGUCAAUGAUCAGGGUGGUCUCAAAACUGUCCAAAAGAACACCAGUUUUUGUGCAGUCACUCAAGAUCAUGCUAGGAAUGCACAGGUUUACCUGUUGGGUCCCUCCAUCAGUGAUAUGCCAGAGGAGGAUCCUGUCUCUGUCACAUGUCUGCUGUUGGGCCACAGGCUCCAGGACUUCUCAGUUAAUUGCAAAGUAGGGACAGACAAUUUGUCUUCAAAUGUGAUCAAAACUGAAAACCACGGCAAUGGAACGGAGAGUGUUCAAAGAGUUUUAAGGGUUCCAGCUGAUAUGUGGAAAAACCAUGAAAAUGUUUCCUGUGAGGUGAAACACCCCUGUUCUAAUGCCCAGACAUACAUCACCUCUAAAACCAAAGGCAAGUGUUUAUAAACACCAACAUUUAGGAAACCAUUUAAAUAUUUUGUUUUAAGUGACUUUAACCAUUUUAAAUGUCUGACUAUAAGUUAAUUAUUACUAAAAGGACUAUCCAUUUUAAUCAGCAAUGUACUAUUUUAUGUAAGGAGUCAAGCGUUUUAAAGUCCAAAGCUUAUGUAUGAUCUGUGCUCUUUCUCUGCCAACAUGUCUGUGAUAAGG